GUAGGUGGCAAGCGUUGUCCGGGAAUUAUUGGGGCGUAAAGCGCGCGCAGGCGGUUCUUUAAGUCUGAUGUGAAAGCCCACGGGCUCAACCGUGGAGGGUCAUUGGAAACUGGAGAACUUGAGUACAGAAGAGGAAAGCGGAAUUCCACGUGUAGCGGUGAAAUGCGUAGAGAUGUGGAGGAACACCAGUGGCGAAGGCGGCUUUCUGGUCUGUAACUGACGCUGAGGCGCGAAAGCGUGGGGAGCAAACAGGAUUAGAUACCUGGUAGUGCACGCCGUAAACGAUGAGUGCUAAGUGUUAGGGGGUUUCCGCCCCUUAGUGCUGCAGCUAACGCAUUAAGCACUCCGCCUGGGGAGUACGGCCGCAAAGGCUG
Molecule: ribosomal RNA, 374 nt
Filed under: uncultured organism
Description: partial 16S ribosomal RNA
Rfam family: Bacterial small subunit ribosomal RNA
Source: RNAcentral